UACGUAGGGGGCUAGCGUUGUCCGGAAUCAUUGGGCGUAAAGCGCGUGUAGGCGGUCCGGUAAGUCCGCUGUGAAAGUCGGGGGCUCAACCCUCGAAUGCCGGUGGAUACUGUCGGGCUAGAGUGCGGAAGAGGCGAGUGGAAUUCCUGGUGUAGCGGUGAAAUGCGCAGAUAUCAGGAAGAACACCCGUGGCGAAGGCGGCUCUCUGGGACGGUACUGACGCUGAGACGCGAAAGCGUGGGAGCGAACAGG
RNAcentral lists this ribosomal RNA (252 nucleotides) under uncultured bacterium. RNAcentral describes it as "partial 16S ribosomal RNA". It matches the Rfam family "Bacterial small subunit ribosomal RNA", at positions 524 to 776 of the family's 1533-position model. The record is from RNAcentral.